RNAcentral lists this long non-coding RNA (1107 nucleotides) under Homo sapiens (human). RNAcentral's name for it is "long intergenic non-protein coding RNA 1592". Lineage: Eukaryota; Metazoa; Chordata; Mammalia; Primates; Hominidae. The record is from RNAcentral.
CAAAUAAUUCAGAUUAAAAUUUCAGUAUAAAAGACUUUUGUUUCUUAGAGAAAGUUAAAAUAAUCCCAUCAUGCUCAACAAAUGCAGCAUUUCUAUUGUUCACACAAAUUUCUGAUCACCAUGGCAGACGUUUCUGCUUACCUACUCAACGUCUAUUUCCCAUUCAGUUUUUGUAAUAUAACCUGAUUUUCAGUGAGGCUGUACGUAGCCAGCUGCAAAUUGCAUUUCCUAACCUCCUUUGCAGGUAGAAGUGGCCAUGUGAUCAUUCUGGCCAAUGAAACAAAAGUGGAAGUUUCUGGGAGAGACUUCAAGGAAAACUCUUUAAAAGAGACUCAAUUCCAUUGGAGCCAAAAUAAUGCAGCUUCACAUCUCCUUAAUGGACAGAAGACUACACUGUUUUUGCUGCACCCAGAGAUAAAAUUAUUGGUUUUGGAGUACCUUCACUGAUGCCAGGGGUGUCAUCUUUACCUUCCAUCACAUAAUAUAUAUAAAGAGAAUUUUUCUUAGCUUUAAAUGAGUUGAUAAGAGGACAAGAAGAAAGUCAAGGACUCCAUUUCCAGGAUUAAAAGCGGUUUUUUCCUUUGUCUUCCAAAUCCUAGCAGUAGAAGCAUUUGAGUUCUGCAGAAAUUACUGAAGUGGUUCAAGUGUGGGCAGUCAGGACACUCAGCCCACCAUACUCAACCCCAACUCAACCUCAACUCUCAGUACGGCAGAGAGACGGAGAACUCAGAGCUAUAACUUUCAGGAAUUCUCAAAACCUCAGACAAAAUGCAUCUUUGUUUUACCACCUGUUAAAGUAUAUCCUCAUCUGCCUCAGUGCACAUAAGUAUACAACACUGCAGAUUGUGUUUAACUUCAUUUGCAAUUAAUUUAACGCAUUUUGUAUCCAACAUUUCUACUAGGAAAUAGUAUUAGUCUAUCCCCAAACUAAAAUUCACUGCAAAAAUGUAAUUCACUCAAGAAAAAUAAUGAUAAUUCUUCAAACACCUUGAGAUGUCAUUCAACAAUCAUACCCAAUGGGUAAAAUUUAGAGUUCAACAUUUAGCUUGCAUUUCUUUCUAACCAAACAUCUCAAGUUCAAAAAAUAAAGCAGAUUGUUUUGUGCAU